Molecule: ribosomal RNA, 125 nt
Filed under: Staphylococcus aureus
Lineage: Bacteria; Bacillati; Bacillota; Bacilli; Caryophanales; Staphylococcaceae
Also listed under: 1 other name
Description: partial 23S ribosomal RNA
Rfam family: Bacterial large subunit ribosomal RNA
Source: RNAcentral
GAUUAAGUUAUUAAGGGCGCACGGUGGAUGCCUUGGCACUAGAAGCCGAUGAAGGACGUUACUAACGACGAUAUGCUUUGGGGAGCUGUAAGUAAGCUUUGAUCCAGAGAUUUCCGAAUGGGGAA